This 212-nucleotide ribosomal RNA is filed under the name Neisseria meningitidis. RNAcentral's name for it is "partial 16S ribosomal RNA". It matches the Rfam family "Bacterial small subunit ribosomal RNA", at positions 116 to 331 of the family's 1533-position model. The record is from RNAcentral. Lineage: Bacteria; Pseudomonadati; Pseudomonadota; Betaproteobacteria; Neisseriales; Neisseriaceae.
UAUCGGAACGUACCGAGUAGUGGGGGAUAACUGAUCGAAAGAUCAGCUAAUACCGCAUACGUCUUGAGAGAGAAAGCAGGGGACCUUUGGGCCUUGCGCUAUUCGAGCGGCCGAUAUCUGAUUAGCUGGUUGGUGGGGUAAAGGCCUACCAAGGCGACGAUCAGUAGCGGGUCUGAGAGGAUGAUCCGCCACACUGGGACUGAGACACGGCC